Molecule: long non-coding RNA, 7246 nt
Organism: Capsicum annuum
Lineage: Eukaryota; Viridiplantae; Streptophyta; Magnoliopsida; Solanales; Solanaceae
Exons: 2
Source: RefSeq, a predicted model, not a curated record
GGCCAACUGUCCUUCCGUGUUCUCCCUCUGCUCUGUCAACAUCGACCAGCUCUGUAUUCUAAGAUAUAGAGAUUUGGAACUCUAUUAUCUGCUGGGUCUUCACACGAUCCUCCUCCUCUUCUCCGGCGACUUCUCCACCAUUUUCCGGCGACAACUCAAAUGGAGUUUUUCUCUCUACCCAGAUUGGGAUGAGGAAUUUGAUUCCAUCUCUAGAGAUAGAUACUUCACUUGGGAUGCUCCGGCCAUCCCAUCGUAUCUCGAUCCUUGCCCACUUGAGAUGAUUUCUCAAUUCUGUUUCCUACUCUGUCACCGGCCAACCACCACAAAGUUCACCAAUCUCAUGGAAAAUAUCAUCCAUCCAUAAAUGCAUAGGCAAACCCAUAGCCCUAAUCUAAGUGGAUUUGGGCUUAUAUGUAGUUGGUUCACAACCUGCAUAAGGAUUCCACCAUUCUAAUUUUAUUCUGAUUCCCUUCCAUAUCCAAUCUCACUGGAGGAUUUGUUCCACCAUGUAUCUAUUGGGGAACUCGAAUAGAAAGCAGCCAUCCAUCAUCUCGUAUAUAUUGACUCCAAAGACCUUCUUCCACACUGUUGAAGUCCAAAGUCUAACGUUAGAUAGAGUAGGGUUUUCUGCUUUGUUCAUACCAAAAGACCCAAAUAUGUAUCUACCAAGCAAUCCUUCAAUUUCCCUUUAGAUGUGGAAGUCUCUGAAUAGUUGCUCAACCAUUUAUUGUUUGAGACCACCUUUGCAAAAGGCACCUUUUUACCAUGUCCUGUAUUGGGUCUUCAUCACCUUCUGUGGAGUGCAUUUAACGAAACUUUGUAUCUUAAAUGCCACACUCCUUCACCCAGCAUUAAUGUCUAUUUCAGGUAUAAUGAUGACUGAUCUGUCCUCUCCCUUUAGUGAUAAAAUGCUCAUGUAUCUCCCAUGAGCAUUAUAUUUCCUGGUACCAAGGAAUUCUGCUGCUUGGUCCUUGUAUCUCCAUCUUCUCACCUGAUUUUUUUGAUCAGAUGAGGCUUUUCUUCUCUGAGAACGAAGCAAAUCCAUUCCAUCACCUUUUCGCUAAGUGUGACCCUCAUCAACAUGUUCCUGCUUCUUUCCACCCAGUCGUACCAAGAAGCAUUGUCGGAAAUCCAUCUGGUGAUGUCGUACGAAUUGAAACCUUGGUUGAAGUAUAUUCUAGUAUCCCCCAUGAUAGAGUAGUGAAUGAAGGCCUAACGUAGAAAACAAGUUAGGUAAGCUACCACAGAAGGUGAUAGCUCGUGGUUGAGAGUUGUUGGUAGUUCCGGUGAGAGUAACGGGAAAGAAAGGGUGUUUCUCCAUCCAAGGGUGUUUGUGUGAUAUCUCGUGACUUGAGCCGGGGGUCUUUCGGAAACAGCCUUUCUACUUCAUCAGAGGUAGAGGUAUGGACUGCGUACAUCUUACCCCCCCCAGACCCCACUAAGUGGGAAUACACUGGGUUUGUUGUUGUUGUUGUUGUAUCAUUUUCAAGAAGUCUUUCUUGUACCAGGUGCAAUAGGAUAACGAAUGAAGUUGUUUGAAAUAAGGUGGGAAUGGCCUCCGUGGUGGACAAGAUGAGGGAAGCGAAAUGGCAGUGGUUUGGAAACGUGAAGAGGAGAGGUGCAGACACCCUAAUAAAUAGGUGCGAGAGGUUGGAUGUAGUAAGCACGAGGACAGGUAGAGGUAGGCCAAGGAAGUAUUGGGGAAAGGUGAUAUGACAGGACAUGGCGCAAUUUCAAAUUAUCGAAGACAUGACCUUUGACAGGGGGUGUGGAGGACAUGUAUUAAGUAGAAGUUAGCCGGGUAGUAGUAGUAUCUAGCUUUUUGUGGUUUUACGCUUAUGGGUAUUUGUUGUGUACUAACUGUGGUUCAGUUUAGGACUUAGCCGUAGAUGUUGUGGAGCUGAUAACUGUGGUAUCACAUUAGUUUUCUUGUAGACUUUGCACUGUUCCUUUCUUUGUUACUUCAUUUUCUUCAUUGUUUCCUUCUUCUUUGUACUUGAAUUUGCUACACUUGAGCCGAGGGUCUUUCGAAGCCUCUCUACCUCUCCAAGGUAAGUGAUAAGGCCUGCGUACCCUACACUCUCCCAACCUCACUUGUGGGAUUUCACUGGGUAUGUUGUUGUUGUGGUUAUAUCAAUAGUAGAACCCACAAUAGCCUGCGAUGCGUCUGUGUUUUCUUCCCACUAGGAUUCAUUAAACUUAGAAUCCAGGACUUUCAGAUUUUUAAGAGAUGUUGCAGCUUGUGACUCCAUCUUAUAAUUAAAUCGCUGCCCCUGUUGUUUCUCACAUGCCUCCUUAAUGGAGUUGGAUGGGCCAGCAGCUCCUAUGAAGCAUUGACCACAUGUAUUUGGCCCAACUCUGAUAAGCCCUUAUUCACUCCUCUGUCCAAUAUGCCAUUAAAUGAUACUGACGAGACAAGUGCCUGAUUCAGGUGUACAGUUCCUUUUCUGCUGCAUUUGUAUUCCCCUACCCCAUUAUCCUUUGCAUCAAGCCUUGAUAUCUGCUACGUAUUAGCCUUCCUUCUUUCUCCUUCGCUGAUGUUGAAUCUCGUCGGUUCAACCCAUAUUUGGGUUGAAAAGGAUUCGGCUGCUUACAAGAGCAACUUCAUUCAGGAUAUUGCUAUCAUCGCCGCGAACCCCAACUUUAGCCUAUUUUAGAUGAUUGCGCAACUAUGUUUCCACUUCCACAUCUACCCAACCUCCACAGUAGUCUCUGAUUGCCGUGAAAACUCUUUUAAUGGGACCACAGAUGCAAUGGAAUACCAGUAAUUCUGGCCCAAAUUGCUUCUGGUUUCUCAUCUUGAUGUAAGGACCCAACUGUUGGGUUUCACCAUUGAAGUUUAAAAUGGGUUUUUAAACAUACCUAUUCCCCUUUCAUCACCUAUUCUGUUGUAAGUUUGAAAGCAGACUGAAAGAGAAAGUUGCUGUUGCCCAUUUCGUACUCAUUCAAUCCAUGUGUUUGCUUCCAAAUAUUGCACACCCACCUUCCGAUUUCUGAAGUAUUAGUUCUAUUAGAAGCAUUCUCAGAGAAAGUACCCACGGUGCAUCUAUUGAGGAUUUCACUCUGGGAAUCUGGUUCUUCAUUAAUGCAUAAAAUUCCCCACUCCUUCAAUGUGGGACAAGCACUGACUCCAUUCUUCUCCCUACUGAACCACUUAAGGCACUUAACUACCUCUGCAUAUUUAAUAUUCUUCUCGGCCAAUUUCAGUUUAACCAAACUCUCCUUCUGUCCUCGGCUAUAAAUGAACCUCCCCAGCUUGUCAGCUACGAAAAUCCACCCUGAAUUGAACCUCAACUAUGGGAUGAUUAUUACUGACCUCCUCCUAUCUUGUACAUUAAUGAUACUAAUAUACCUAUCAAAUUUGUUCUAAUUUUCGAACAGUAUAGCCUGUUUCUUAUCUUCCAUUUCCUUAACACAUUUCCAUCCGCCUUAGAUGCAUCCCUCAAGAUCCAACAGAACUAAACCACUGUGUGCCUGCUGAAAGUUGUCCUCAUAAGUUGUUACUUCUCUCUGACCAUUCAUACCAUGUUUCUGCUGUCCCACAUGUUAUUGCAACAUCAUAGAUUUAAAACCCACCGCAAAAUAAAUGCUAUGGGCCAUUGAAUCAAAAGAUUUUUAAAAGAAGAAAGAGAGGGUGAUUUCUGGUGAUCGGAAUGAUCACCAGACUAGGGACGUACUUCCAGAACUUGCUUUUAGGUCAUUGUCUGGGGUAUUGUGCCUGGGAGCUUUAGUUAUUCUAUCUUCUACCCUGCAUAAAAUAAUACAAAAAUUGACUCAUAACCUGUACAUGUUUUAGUUAUGCGGGAUUGUAGACUGGUAAGCGAACAUCAUAUUUGGUGACCUGAAUUCUAUUCAUAGCAAUACCAAACACGAUAUUAGUUAUGCAGAUUCUAAUACAUGAAUAAUUCACCUCCGAACCAGAAACCAAACUACCCCUUAAGAAAAAGACCCUUUUACCACCACCCACCCACACAAACAUAAGGAGGCACUUUUCUAUCCAUGAAGAAUCUGUACUUUUAACUUCAACUCACUCUUUUAUUUCACCUUCAUCUCUAUGUUUCCACUUCAACUUCAAAGGAUAAUACAAAUAGGAUCCUUCCCUGACAAGAGUGGGUUGCUCAGAUAAUAAGCACCCUCCACGUCCAACCCUAAGGCUGUGGGUUCGAGUCACCAAGGGAGUAAAAGUGAUGAGCUCCUAUGGAAGGGUAAAAAAAAAAAAGGUCCUGCCUCCGGGGUUAGCUCAACUGGCAAAGGCUUUGGGACUUAUGUCUUAGAUCACAAGUUCGAACCCCGUUCCCAGCAACCUAAGUCCAUUUAUUAAGUGGAGAAGGAAGGAAGGAAGGAAGGAAGGAAGGAAGGAAGGAAGGAAGGAAGGAAGGAAAGGCACAUCAUCCCUGAUUUCUGAAGGCUGUGAUUGGCCCAAAGGGUUGGUAAUAACUUCUAAAUAGAUUUCUGUCAUAAAAAUAAAAGGAAAGAGUUGUCAAGGUCCUUGUGAGGGUGCUGUAGAUUACGAUAAGAAACACUACCUAUGUUACCUAGGCUCUUCAUUUUCCUCAAUUUACUCGAUUUAACAGGUAUAAAACGAGUAUGGUAAAUUAUGUGGAUCCUUUGAAGUACCAAUACCCUGCUAAAAGUUGGGCAGAUGUACCAGAUACUAUUCCCCAUCCUACCACAUACAUAAAUGGGUGAGAUAAGAAGCCAUUUAGUGUGAGCUUUUCCUUUUUUGAACAUAGACCAAUAGUCAUUGGGCCUACUGGAUAAUCUUAUUAAUAUAAUCAAAAACAAUACCAAGUGUACCUACAUCAUGUUCAAAAUAGGAACUAGAUAAAAUAAGAAAAGCAAUACUAACAAAUGAAUCCUAUUCUGACAUCUGAUCCUAACUUUUGUUACUAUAUAUGCUAAUAAGGUUGAUAGAAGCUUCCUACAACAACAACAACAUACCCAGUGUAUUCCCACAAAGUGGGGUCUUGGGAGGGUAAAGUGUACGCAGUCCAUACCACUACCUCAGAUGAAGUAGAGAGGUUGUUUCCGAUAGACCCCAGCUAAGGACAAGCUUCCUCUUUAUCAAAAAAAAAAAAUUCCUAUAAGCUUCCUGCAAGGUCUGGACAACUCGUUAGCACUUGACUAAUAAGAUAGAAAGAAUCUUUCCAGCUUGUUUAGUGAAGUCAAGCUAUGGUGUUAGGGUUCACGUGGCUUGUCGGUCCAGGAAUGCCCUUACUAGUUUUAGGGCCUUGAUUGGCGAAAGUGAUCGUCGCCUUCAAGCCGGCAGUUGCCGGAUUAGGCUUCGGACUUUCUUUUACCCGCCUUUACUGAGAAAGAAGAGAUAUAAAGGUUGGACAUCCAUCGCUGCCAUGAUGACACAGUUGAGUGUUCAUUCAAUCCAACACUAGGCCAAUCAACCUAUCCUUGGGCUCAAUCCAGAAAGUGAUUCCCUCUCUAAAAGAGGGAUAGACAUUAGGUCAUGAAUAGAAUCUGAGGAAGAGAGAUAAGCAGUUGGUGCGGACCAUCCGUUAUCAGUCCAAUUGGGUAGAUCUACCCCUCUCAUCCGCUGAUCCUUUAUCUAUAGUUCAGUCUACUGAUUUAGUUUCUUCUUGACUGGCCUAACGCACUCGGGCCAAUCUACUAAACGCUAAUAUUGAUUUAACCUGCAUUCAGUAAGGGUCCAUUGUAUUCACUGACAAUACAAACUUUUAAAUUUGAUCACAUUUAUUGAGAAUCUCAUCAUUGAUUGGGUAGGUCAACCAAUUGAUUGAAUACUGGCACACUCGUGAGACUUGCUGGAAAAUCCGUGGAAAACCGCCCAAAUGGGACAAAAAAAGGCAGAAAAUCAUGGCAACCAGGCCUUUCAAUGUACCAGCAAAGAACCGAGACUGAAAUCUUCUUCAAAAAUGCCACCAUUCACCAACAGCUACAGCUACUGCACAAACUUCUCCAAUCUCAACUCCAAUCCAGUAAAAACCUAAUCCUUCUACUCACACUUGUUCUUUUACAUAAACAGGACAAGGUCUCAGGAAGGAUGAUUGGCAAUGCUAAAGAGUAUGAAGGCCUCUAUUUUCUUGAAGAUGGCGAUAAUUCAGUAAAUUUUAGUUCAACUUGUUUGAACUCUGUUCUAGUUGAUAAUAAAGUCAUGUUAUGGCACUACAGACUUGGUCAUCCUAGUUUUCAUUAUUUGAAACUCUUGUGUAUGUCGAUGAUAUUAUACUUACGGGAGAUGACUUGUCCGAAAUGAAGAAUUUAAAGAAACGGCUGGCCCCAGAGUUUGAGAUUAAAGAUUUGGGCCAGUUGAAAUUUUUUCUUGGCAAGGAAGUACCGAGAUAAAAAGAAGGCAUUAUGGUGUCACAAAGGAAGUAUGUACUAGAUCUUCUAAAAGAGAAAGGGAUAAGUGGUUGUCGUCCAGCUGAAACACCUAUUGAUCCGAAUAUAAAAUUCAAAAAUAAAGAAGGAAAUUCAGUUGACCACAGUGGCACAGUCAAUAUCAAAGACGUGAGGAAGUUCAUCUACUUGUCACAGACUCGACCUAAUAUAGCUUUUGUUGUAAGCUUAGUAAGUCAAUUUAUGCACUCUCCAAAGGAAGAGCACCAAGAAGCGGUUUAUAGAAUCCUAAGAUAUCUUAAAAGUUCUCCCAGAAAGUAUUGUCUUUCAGAAAAAGUCAAAAUGGGGCAUUGAAAGCUUUACAGAUGCAGACUGGGCAGGUUCAACUACUGAUAGGAGGUCUACAUUUGGAUACUGUACAUUUAUUUAGGGAAAUCUUGUGACCUGGAGGAGUAAAAAGCAAAGUGUUGUAGCCCGCAAUAGUGCUGAAGUUGAAUACCGAUCUAUGGCCCAUAGGAUUUGUGAAGCCCGCAAAAAAAUGUUUGGUUUACCAAUGAAGUUCUACUGUGACAAUAAAGCGGCCAUAAGUAAUGCUCAUAAUCCAGUUCAACAUGAUAGAACAAAACAUGAUGAAGUGGAUAGACACUUCAUAAAAGAGAAGAUUGAAGAAGGAAGUGUGUGCAUACCUUUCGUCCCAAUCAGCAAAUUGCAGAUAUUUUCAAAAAAGGCUUAUCUAAACCAAAAUUUGAAAUUCUUGUAAGCACGUUAGGCAUGACAGAUAUUUACAUACCAACUUGAGGAAGAGUGUUGAUUUGUCAAUAUUUAAGAUUUGAUUUUUUAGGAUCUUAAUUGGUUUGAUAAAAUCAGAUCAGAUUUGUUAUAGAUAGGUUAGAUAAUUAGAUCAAAUAAGAUCAUAUCUUGAUUUUAUUCCUAA